GAAGUAUAUACAUUCAUUGUUAUUGUACAAGUUAGGAUCUAACUGAAGCAAGUAUUUGAUGAAGCCAUGUCUCAAUAUCAACAACCAUUGAUCUGAAACUCUGCUGUUUUACUGAAGGAAGAUUCUACUAUUUACAUCAACUCCCUCUUCCAAAUAUUACUUCCCCCUACUCCUCAUGAACAUGACUUUAUCAACCCCAAGUUGUAAAGUACCUUCUCCGAUCUCGACCGAAAGAGGUUUCCCAAAGAAAAGCCCGACCCCUCCUGCGGUGGGCAUUUCGACUGCCGUUCGUCGUCCUUCACGUGAAGUAUUGUUAGUCCAAUGGCUUCUCGCACCGCCUUAAUGGUUUCACUCCUUACUGAGUUUCCAGAUGCAUCAGUCACAUAGAAAAC
Molecule: unclassified non-coding RNA, 392 nt
Filed under: Hevea brasiliensis (rubber tree)
Lineage: Eukaryota; Viridiplantae; Streptophyta; Magnoliopsida; Malpighiales; Euphorbiaceae
Source: RNAcentral